RNAcentral lists this ribosomal RNA (865 nucleotides) under Bacillus zhangzhouensis. Its description in RNAcentral is "bacterial SSU rRNA". It matches the Rfam family "Bacterial small subunit ribosomal RNA", at positions 19 to 865 of the family's 1533-position model. Lineage: Bacteria; Bacillati; Bacillota; Bacilli; Caryophanales; Bacillaceae. The record is from RNAcentral.
CUGGCUCAGGACGAACGCUGGCGGCGUGCCUAAUACAUGCAAGUCGAGCGGACAGAAGGGAGCUUGCUCCCGGAUGUUAGCGGCGGACGGGUGAGUAACACGUGGGUAACCUGCCUGUAAGACUGGGAUAACUCCGGGAAAACCGGAGCUAAUACCGGAUAGUUCCUUGAACCGCAUGGUUCAAGGAUGAAAGACGGUUUCGGCUGUCACUUACAGAUGGACCCGCGGCGCAUUAGCUAGUUGGUGGGGUAAUGGCUCACCAAGGCGACGAUGCGUAGCCGACCUGAGAGGGUGAUCGGCCACACUGGGACUGAGACACGGCCCAGACUCCUACGGGAGGCAGCAGUAGGGAAUCUUCCGCAAUGGACGAAAGUCUGACGGAGCAACGCCGCGUGAGUGAUGAAGGUUUUCGGAUCGUAAAGCUCUGUUGUUAGGGAAGAACAAGUGCGAGAGUAACUGCUCGCACCUUGACGGUACCUAACCAGAAAGCCACGGCUAACUACGUGCCAGCAGCCGCGGUAAUACGUAGGUGGCAAGCGUUGUCCGGAAUUAUUGGGCGUAAAGGGCUCGCAGGCGGUUUCUUAAGUCUGAUGUGAAAGCCCCCGGCUCAACCGGGGAGGGUCAUUGGAAACUGGGAAACUUGAGUGCAGAAGAGGAGAGUGGAAUUCCACGUGUAGCGGUGAAAUGCGUAGAGAUGUGGAGGAACACCAGUGGCGAAGGCGACUCUCUGGUCUGUAACUGACGCUGAGGAGCGAAAGCGUGGGGAGCGAACAGGAUUAGAUACCCUGGUAGUCCACGCCGUAAACGAUGAGUGCUAAGUGUUAGGGGGUUUCCGCCCCUUAGUGCUGUAGCUAACGCAUUAAGC